ACGCAUAUCGCCAGCCCUGGUCCGGUCUUGUAUUAUCAUUUCAUAACAAUAACACAAAAAUGUCAUUUACACAAAAACUAAAUUAUUACGCCAAACGAAAAUCAUUUAAAUAUGGUGUACCAUUUCUAAUUACGAUGGUAGCCGGCUCGUUUGGACUGCAACAGUUUUCUAAUCUAAGAUAUCAGUACUCCAAAAUGCAACCUGUCUCGCCGGAAGAAAUGAAGAAGUACGGCGUGAGUAUGAAGAAACGUCAAGAAGUAACGCUCGAAACAGAAUAUGAUAAGGUUAAAGGCAUCGACAUUGACAAUUGGUCAAACAAGCGAGGUCCACGGCCGUGGGAAGAGGAGGAGCUAGCGGCUUUAUCUGCAGCCAAAUAAUUAUUGUGAAACAUAUGUGAUAAUUGCCUUUUGCAGCCCUGAAUAAUCGGCGGAAUAUGUAUGUACAUAUAUCAGGGCUGCCAACCUGCUCAAAUCAGCUGCGACGCUUUGGCAAAUAUUUUCAACCUAAAAAUGGGAGAAGUUAAACCCGUAAAAAUGGAUAGCUGGGCUCCAUCUGAUGCAGCUACAAUAUUUGCAGAUGGGGAACGUGUGCUAUGUUUCCACGGGCCGCUUAUCUACGAAGCCAAAGUACUCAAAACAAAGCCCGAAAGUUCGCCGGUUGAAUAUUACAUACACUAUGCGGGCUGGAGCAAAAACUGGGACGAGUGGGUACCAGAGAGUCGUGUGCUAAAAUACAAUGAGGAUAACGUGAAGCGCCAAAAAGAACUUGCCCGAGUGUAUGGUGAACGCUCAAAGAAGGACAACAAGAAAGGCAGUGCAAAAGCCAAGAAAAUGGAGCAAGUUGGCAAUGAAUCUCGUGCGUCGACGCCCUCCAAAGAUGG
Molecule: non-coding RNA, 880 nt
Organism: Drosophila virilis
Lineage: Eukaryota; Metazoa; Arthropoda; Insecta; Diptera; Drosophilidae
Source: RefSeq, a predicted model, not a curated record